This 149-nucleotide non-coding RNA is filed under the name Melipona quadrifasciata. Its description in RNAcentral is "Eukaryotic large subunit ribosomal RNA". It matches the Rfam family "Eukaryotic large subunit ribosomal RNA", at positions 2837 to 2984 of the family's 3401-position model. The record is from Rfam by way of RNAcentral. Lineage: Eukaryota; Metazoa; Arthropoda; Insecta; Hymenoptera; Apidae.
GUUGAGCGCGAAUCCUUCAUAGCGACGUCGCUUUUUGAUCCUUCGAUGUCGGCUCUUCCUAUCAUUGCGAAGCAGAAUUCGCCAAGCGUCGGAUUGUUCACCCGCCAACAGGGAACGUGAGCUGGGUUUAGACCGUCGUGAGACAGGUU